GGAGAAGUGGAGUUAUGGAGAUGUGAGUCAGCUUUUCCAUGGCUGUAUCGUACAAAUAGCCCCAGAGUCAGUUUCCUGCCUCCCAGCCAAAAGAGGCAUUUUUGAGACCUCUUGCCUCCUUCUCAGGAGUAUUCCUGAUACAAUGUCAAAUAUCCAAAAGGUUCUACAGCCCAACAUAGUUUGGCUUUGAAUCCAAGUUGGCAACGGUUGGUGAUGUGAAAUGGAGACCUUUCCCCAAAGAGGCAGGAGUGAGCAUGACCCAGGCUGGGUCCUCUGCUGGAGGGAAGCAGAUGGACACCAGACACCUCUGCUUCCCUGCUGUGUGGCCCCACAGGUGACAGAUGGGACAGAGUCGCCUGCCAAUCCUCAGAUCACCAUCUGAGGCAGUUGGCAAAGAACAGACUCCACACCUGGCUGGUCCAGGUGAGACCUUUCAUAAUGAGCAUGUGGCUGUAAGUGCCUCCGUUCAACUAGUCUGGGGCAGUCUGAAAUGUCUAGAACCAACUUGAAACAACAGGAAAACUAAACAGCUUCCCCACAGGCAUAGAUGCCAAGUUGAUCACCAGCAAAGGGAAAAAUCAAUACACUGAGUUAUCCUGAAAAAUGAAAUGGAAGCCAACUAGUUUCACCAAAGAAGCAGGACCCUUAGUUCUUAAAAAGAAAAGAAAAGAAAAAUUCACCAGACACCACCAAAAAGAAUAAAAUGCAAAGCCAGGAGGUACCAGUCAGUAGAGACUUGGCAUGUUGAACAUGGUGGACCAGCUGUCCAAGAUGAUAAGAUUGCUGUUGACGGGUAUAGGCCUCCAGGGAGAUGGGCUUUGGAUGGUGUUGCCAUGGCCCGAUCACAGUUGUUUACAUCUGUUCCUUACUAAAACAGCAUUGUACUCCAAGCCCCAUGCCUCAGGAACUAGCUGCUGCCCCUUUGGAAGCACAGACAGCCCUUCCUUGAGAAGAAUCCUCCAGGCACAGGUCACCUAGAGGGCACUGGGGGACACUGGGGCAGAGGAAGCAUUAGUGAGAGGGCAGAAGAGCUGUCUUCCUCCCCUGCCUCUGUCACCCGUCUGAUGUUGCUGCUUCAGUUUCCUGUAUACUUCCCUACCCCAUGUGUUGAUACGAGGCUGCAAGGACAUCUUGCACGUAAGAUGCCAGGUCUUGAGGUUGUUGGUGUCCCAGGACUGUUCUACCACCACAGUGGGCUUGUAAAUCUCAAGGGGAUCCUGUGUCAUCAUUUUAGUCACAGGUAGGGGCUUGGACUGCCACUCCCCCCUUAAUUCUUAGAGUGUAAGUGUAUCUUUGAGUAUUCCUGUGGAUUGUUGCUUCCAUUGGAUAUUUGCCAACUAGCAUGUACCCUGUUCCCAGACAUGUUUGCUAGAAUCUAGUAUUCACUCUACUCCAAGCAAAGAUACUGAAGGUUCUGGCAAGGCUUAGAAACCUGCUCCCAAGAAUCAGUCCUGCAGAAGAUUGUUUGACAACUUGUGAGAAUCAGCAUGACUAUCUCUUCGUUAGAGGAAGGAACCGAGAAGCUGUGACUAAAAAUGGAGAUGGAGCACUUAAUGAGAUAAAAAGAUUUAGAUGACCACAGUGAAUACAUGAAAACAAAUAAAUUCAUGGAAGUUGUGAGUUGAAAGCAGACUGUGAAGGAGGACUAGAUGUGAUGCAUUAUGGGGUGCCUGUUCAACCCACUCUGAGAAGGGGCCCCUCAUCCAUCAGAGCCGUACCUGUUAUACGCGUUCCUGCUGCCUUGACCAGAGCUGAUGAGGCUGAUGGAGUUUCCCUGAAAAUGUGGAGUUGGAAUUUAAGAAUGUGGUCAGUCUCUGGCUAUGACUGGACCUGCAGAUGUAUAAACUUCUUCUCUGUGAAGCAGACAUCUUCUGCCGUGCACAUGGUGAUACCGGAAAGCUGACCUAUCUAGAGCAGAGAAGAAGCAGACACACAGCGAUAAACAGAGUGAUACAGGGCUUCUCGCCACCUGAUGUGAAGAACUGACUCGUUGGAAAAGACCCUGAUGCUGGGAAAGAUUGAAGGCGGGAGGAGAAGGGGACGACAGAGGAGGAGACGGUUGAAUGGCUCAAUGGACGUGAGUUUGAGCAAGCUCCAGGAGUUGGUGAUGGACAGGGAAGCCUGGCAUGCUGCAGUCCAUGGGGUUGCAAAGAGUUGGACACGACUGAGCUGAACUGAACUGAACUGAACCCUCUUGCUGGAGAUUGUGUUGAGGACCAAAGAGGGACAGACAUGAACAAACUAGAAGAUGAACAGGUCUGGAGGCUGGGAAGUCCAAGGUCAAGGUGCUGAUCACUUCCGUUCCUGCUGAGGGCCCUGUGCUUGGCUUAUGGACAGCUACCUUCUCGUCUGUGUGAUCAUUAGCAGAGAGACAGCUCCAGUGUCUCCUUCUCUUCUUACAAUGACACACUAAUCAUAUCGUGGAGGCCGCAUUCUCAUGACCUCAUCUAAACCUAAUUACCUCUCAAAGUCCCCACUACCGAACAUCAUUUUACUAGGGUUAGGGCUUUGACGUAUACAUUUUGGGUGAAAACAAACAUUCUGUCCAUGACAUACAUUUAUUAGGAAAAGAAACUCUCCUUAGUCUCACUCAAGGUCCAGACUUCCUCUUGAAAGAAGAGAUACUCCUUAAGGCUGUGCACUGGGUUAAGUUCUGACCUCCUACUUCCCCAAGGGCAGCCUGCCAUAUUGGAGUUUUUAAAGCAGGCUUUUUCAUAUCCUGGGGUGGGACUGGGCCUUGUGGCAGAUUGUCCUGCUGCUGUGAGACUAUAUUAGUGUCAGAUUUCUUACCUUACCCGGACUGGACAAGACUUGGAAGCUUCCCUCUGGACAUCAGUCUUGACAAAAUUAGCCCCACCCAACUCCAAACAGAAGGCACCACAACUCCUCCAUAAUCUGACCCAGGACAGCAGAAACUGUUAGAGUGUGUAAGCAAGAUUUCUUGGGGCCAUCAUCAUUCCCCUCUGACCCCAACUGCCUACCCUCAUGGCCUCUCAGAUCACCACUGGACAGGGGCCUCAGCUCCCCCUUCCAUAAACAGGUGCCAAUCACCAUCCAAUAGCAGCCAUUGGAUGUGGGAAUCUGAACAUAUUGAAGCACUGGGGAAAUUUAAGUUGUAAUUUUUUUUUUUUUAAUAGAGUACAGGCCUUUAUAGGGUGAAGGUGACCAGACAGAACUGUGAUCCCUGUUCUUGGAGAGAAAGAAAACUUAAAAAUCAUUUAAUUAUGACUUUGGGGCUUAAUAUUAACAAGCUCAAAAGUUUUCCAACACCCUUCCACAAAGCCUCUCAGCCUCCAAAUGAUUUCAGCUGCUCCAAGACAAUCCACUCUGUGUCUGGGGCAUCAAUUUGAUUUACAGAGCAUUUCAAAAUAUUUAUAUAUUUUUUAGGGUUUCCAUCACGGCCUCAGCCAGUAACCUGCUGUGUUUGAAAAUGUCUGGGCAGUAAUUGUCAUUGUUUGCAACAGCUAUUUUGGACUCCAGCGAGUGCUGUGGCAUUUUGUAGAAUCUAGGAAUGCAAUUACCAAAAUUGUAUACAUAAUCCAAGUGACCUCCUGGCUUCAGAAGCUCAACCCCUAGGAAAAAAAGGAUAACAACAGCAAAACGUUUGUUUAAUUUUUCUUCUGUAGUUGGUCAGUGGUAGGUGGAUUAUAUUGUGGCCAAUUUGGCAAAAAGAUGAUUAGUGUAACAAUUCCUUAUAAGUACAAAACAAUGUUGAAUGAAACAUACAAGAAAGAAUAUGACAUGGAUGGCAGGCUCUUGUGACCCACUUUCUUACCUAUGUGUUUGUGGAGGAAACUGAGGGGGCAUCUGGGUCCUGUAAUGACUCAUUCCUCAUGAUGCAAGAGAUUGCUUUUACCAAUUAAAAGUGUGUACUUUAGAAAAAAGUUGCUAACUGUGAAGAAGUUUAUGUAAAACAACAAUAACAAAAAUUUGUUUGAGAAAGAGACCAUUUUGGAGUCACUAAAUGAAUUUACAAGUUGCCCCCAGUGUCAUUAGGGAUUUAGGUUUCUUGAAUCUUAUCAGC
Long non-coding RNA from Bos taurus (domestic cattle), 4024 nucleotides. The record is from Ensembl. NCBI's taxonomy places the organism in Eukaryota, Metazoa, Chordata, Mammalia, Artiodactyla, Bovidae.